UGGGGAAUAUUGGGCAAUGGGCGCAAGCCUGACCCGGCGACGCCGCGUGGGUGAUGAAGGCCUUCGGGUCGUAAAGCCCUGUCAGGUGGAAAGAAUGGGCAGUGUGCAAAUAGCACAGUGCCGUGACGGUACCACCGAAGGAAGCACCGGCCAAUUCCGUGCCAGCAGCCGCGGUAAUACAGAGGGGGCAAGCGUUGUUCGGAAUUACUGGGCGUAAAGGGCGCGUAGGCGGCCUGUUAAGUCGAACGUGAAAUCCCUGGGCUCAACCCAGGAACUGCGUCCGAUACUGGCUGGCUUGAAUCCGGGAGAGGGAUGCGGAAUUCCAGGUGUAGCGGUGAAAUGCGUAGAUAUCUGGAGGAACACCGGUGGCGAAGGCGACAUCCUGGACCAAUUCUGACGCUGAGGAGCGAAAGCCAGGGGAGCAAACGGGAUUAGAUACCCCCGUAGUCCCUGAGCGGGCUGGCAAGGCGCAU
This 473-nucleotide ribosomal RNA is filed under the name uncultured bacterium. RNAcentral describes it as "bacterial SSU rRNA". It matches the Rfam family "Bacterial small subunit ribosomal RNA", at positions 355 to 825 of the family's 1533-position model. The record is from RNAcentral.